UGAGGGAGGAGGUUGGGUA
Molecule: microRNA, 19 nt
Filed under: Macaca mulatta (Rhesus monkey)
Lineage: Eukaryota; Metazoa; Chordata; Mammalia; Primates; Cercopithecidae
Also listed under: 2 other names
Description: mml-miR-6133
Source: miRBase by way of RNAcentral